This 78-nucleotide transfer RNA is filed under the name Oligoflexia bacterium. RNAcentral's name for it is "tRNA-Pro". It matches the Rfam family "tRNA". Rfam says of the family: Transfer RNA (tRNA) molecules are approximately 80 nucleotides in length. Their secondary structure includes four short double-helical elements and three loops (D, anti-codon, and T loops). Further hydrogen bonds mediate the characteristic L-shaped molecular structure. tRNAs have two regions of fundamental functional importance: the anti-codon, which is responsible for specific mRNA codon recognition, and the 3' end, to which the tRNAs corresponding amino acid is attached (by aminoacyl-tRNA synthetases). tRNAs cope with the degeneracy of the genetic code in two manners: having more than one tRNA (with a specific anti-codon) for a particular amino acid; and 'wobble' base-pairing, i.e. permitting non-standard base-pairing at the 3rd anti-codon position. The record is from RNAcentral. Lineage: Bacteria; Pseudomonadati; Bdellovibrionota; Oligoflexia.
CGGGACAUAGCGCAGCCUGGCUAGCGCAUCUGCUUUGGGAGCAGAGGGUCGCAGGUUCGAAUCCUGCUGUCCCGACCA